UACCAUGCUCUGCCUCACAUCAAAGCC
Molecule: non-coding RNA, 27 nt
Filed under: Mus musculus (house mouse)
Lineage: Eukaryota; Metazoa; Chordata; Mammalia; Rodentia; Muridae
Source: RNAcentral